CACGUAGUUAGCCGGGGCUUCUUAGUCAGGUACCGCCUUGUCUCGUUCCUGCUGAUAGAGCUUUACAUACCGAAAUACUUCUUCACUCACGCGGCGUCGCUGCAUCAGGGUUUCCCCCCAUUGUGCAAUAUUCCCCACUGCUGCCUCCCGUAGGAGUUUGGGCCGUGUCUCAGUCCCAAUGUGGCCGUCCACCCUCUCAGGCCGGCUACUGAUCGUCGCUUUGGUAGGCCGUUACCCUGCCAACUGGCUAAUCAGACGCGGGUCCAUCCCAUACCACCGGAGUUUUUCACACAGGAGCAUGCGCUCCCGUGCGCUUAUGCGGUAUUAGCACCUGUUUCCAGGUGGUAUCCCCCGGUAUGGGGCAGGUUACCCACGCGUUACUCACCCGUCCGCCGACUAAGAUACAUCCUUCCGGAAUGCAAGCACUCCUUCUUAAUGCAUCCCCGUUCGACUUGCAUGUGUUAAGCACGCCGCCAGCGUUCAUCCUGAGCCGAGGAUACAAACUCUACG
RNAcentral lists this ribosomal RNA (510 nucleotides) under uncultured Syntrophococcus sp. RNAcentral's name for it is "partial 16S ribosomal RNA". The record is from RNAcentral. Lineage: Bacteria; Bacillati; Bacillota; Clostridia; Lachnospirales; Lachnospiraceae.